GACGAACGCUGGCGGCGUGCUUAACACAUGCAAGUCGAACGGAAAGGCCCUGCUUUUGUGGGGUGCUCGAGUGGCGAACGGGUGAGUAACCCGUGAGUAACCUGCCCUUGACUUUGGGAUAACUUCAGGAAACUGGGGCUAAUACCGGAUAGGAGCUCCUGCUGCAUGGUGGGGUUUGGAAAGUUUCGGCGGUUGGGGAUGGACUCGCGGCUUAUCAGCUUGUUGGUGGGGUAGUUGCUUACCAAGGCUUUGACGGGUAGCCGGCCUGAGAGGGUGACCGGCCACAUUGGGACUGAGAUACGGCCCAGACUCCUACGGGAGGCAGCAGUGGGGAAUAUUGCACAAUGGGCGGAAGCCUGAUGCAGCAACGCCGCGUGCGGGAUGACGGCCUUCGGGUUGUAAACCGCUUUCGCCUGUGACGAAGCGUGAGUGACGGUAAUGGGUAAAGAAGCACCGGCUAACUACGUG
This 468-nucleotide ribosomal RNA is filed under the name uncultured bacterium. RNAcentral's name for it is "partial 16S ribosomal RNA". It matches the Rfam family "Bacterial small subunit ribosomal RNA", at positions 28 to 507 of the family's 1533-position model. The record is from RNAcentral.